GACGAACGCUGGCGGCGUGCUUACACAUGCAAGUCGAACGGAAAGGCCCUGCUUUUGUGGGGUGCUCGAGUGGCGAACGGGUGAGUAACACGUGAGUAACCUGCCCUUGACUUUGGGAUAACUUCAGGAAACUGGGGCUAAUACCGGAUAGGAGCUCCUGCUGCAUGGUGGGGGUUGGAAAGUUUCGGCGGUUGGGGAUGGACUCGCGGCUUAUCAGCUUGUUGGUGGGGUAGUGGCUUACCAAGGCUUUGACGGGUAGCCGGCCUGAGAGGGUGACCGGCCACAUUGGGACUGAGAUACGGCCCAGACUCCUACGGGAGGCAGCAGUGGGGAAUAUUGCACAAUGGGCGGAAGCCUGAUGCAGCAACGCCGCGUGCGGGAUGACGGCCUUCGGGUUGUAAACCGCUUUCGCCUGUGACGAAGCGUGAGUGACGGUAAUGGGUAAAGAAGCACCGGCUAACUACGUGCCAGCAGCCGCGGUGAUACGUAGGGUGCGAGCGUUGUCCGGAUUUAUUGGGCGUAAAGGGCUCGUAGGUGGUUGAUCGCGUCGGAAGUGUAAUCUUGGGGCUUAACCCUGAGCGUGCUUUCGAUACGGGUUGACUUGAGGAAGGUAGGGGAGAAUGGAAUUCCUGGUGGAGCGGUGGAAUGCGCAGAUAUCAGGAGGAACACCAGUGGCGAAGGCGGUUCUCUGGGCCUUUCCUGACGCUGAGGAGCGAAAGCGUGGGGAGCGAACAGGCUUAGAUACCCUGGUAGUCCACGCUGUAAACGGUGGGUACUAGGUGUGGGGUCCAUUCCACGGGUUCCGUGCCGUAGCUAACGCUUUAAGUACCCCGCCUGGGGAGUACGGCCGCAAGGCUAAAACUCAAAGGAAUUGACGGGGCCCCGCACAAGCGGCGGAGCAUGCGGAUUAAUUCGAUGCAACGCGUAGAACCUUACCUGGGUUUGACAUGGAUCGGGAGCGCUCAGAGAUGGGUGUGCCUCUUUUGGGGUCGGUUCACAGGUGGUGCAUGGCUGUCGUCAGCUCGUGUCGUGAGAUGUUGGGUUAAGUCCCGCAACGAGCGCAACCCUUGUUCACUGUUGCCAGCACGUUAUGGUGGGGACUCAGUGGAGACCGCCGGGGUCAACUCGGAGGAAGGUGGGGAUGACGUCAAGUCAUCAUGCCCCUUAUGUCCAGGGCUUCACGCAUGCUACAAUGGCUGGUACAGAGAGUGGCGAGCCUGUGAGGGUGAGCGAAUCUCGGAAAGCCGGUCUCAGUUCGGAUUGGGGUCUGCAACUCGACCUCAUGAAGUCGGAGUCGCUGGUAAUCGCAGAUCAGCAACGCUGCGGUGAAUACGUUCCCGGGGCU
RNAcentral lists this ribosomal RNA (1345 nucleotides) under uncultured bacterium. Its description in RNAcentral is "bacterial SSU rRNA". It matches the Rfam family "Bacterial small subunit ribosomal RNA", at positions 28 to 1381 of the family's 1533-position model. The record is from RNAcentral.